Molecule: ribosomal RNA, 253 nt
Filed under: uncultured bacterium
Lineage: Bacteria
Description: partial 16S ribosomal RNA
Rfam family: Bacterial small subunit ribosomal RNA
Source: RNAcentral
UACGUAGGGUGCGAGCGUUCAUCGGAAUUACUGGGCGUAAAGCGUGCGCAGGCGGUUUUGUAAGCCAGGUGUGAAAUCCCCGGGCUCAACCUGGGAAUGGCAUUUGGGACUGCAAGGCUGGAGUGCGGCAGAGGAGACUGGAAUUCCUGGUGUAGCAGUGAAAUGCGUAGAUAUCAGGAGGAACACCGAUGGCGAAGGCAGGUCUCUGGGCUGACACUGACGCUCAUGCACGAAAGCGUGGGGAGCAAACAGG